CCUGAUUAGUGUAACGGGACAACAAUUCGACGAUUCCCGUUGAUAUUCGGAGUUGGACGUUGCACAUUUUUGCUUAAAUCGGUGCCACGCAAUCCGUAGAAGCUGGUGAAACCAAGCUGCAACUUCAAAAGCUCAUUCACCCGGCCAGGCCAAGAGGAUUUUUUUCUUCAAUGUGGCUCCGACGUUCGCACGGUGGGUGCAAGAACAAACAUCAUCAAUUAGUACUAUCAGCAACGAUGAAGCACCCAACAUUGAUAGCUACAUUUUGGUUACCGAUAACUGCCAGCCUUUCGUGCAACUUCUUGCGAUGCGUUCAGUUAGGCAACCGAUCUAUGGAAACAGUGUCCCGGGAAAAUCAUUCAAGAACGGCGCGAUCGCAACAUCUGAGGGACCGUCGCACGGGGCUACUUGGGACUGGACGCUUAGGUGUUAAACGUAAGGACUUCACUACCACAAUCAGGUCAGGGUACCAGGUUCGAUAGCGCUUCCAAGGACUCUGUAGGAUAGCGGGA
This is a long non-coding RNA of Uranotaenia lowii, 512 nucleotides long. RefSeq lists it as uncharacterized. The transcript is spliced from 4 exons. The record is from RefSeq and is a predicted model, not a curated record. NCBI's taxonomy places the organism in Eukaryota, Metazoa, Arthropoda, Insecta, Diptera, Culicidae.